Molecule: ribosomal RNA, 406 nt
Filed under: uncultured bacterium
Lineage: Bacteria
Description: partial 16S ribosomal RNA
Rfam family: Bacterial small subunit ribosomal RNA
Source: RNAcentral
AUUGAACGCUGGCGGCAAGCCUAACACAUGCAAGUCGAACGAGUGGCGGACGGGUGAGUAAUGUCUGGGAAACUGCCUGAUGGAGGGGGAUAACUACUGGAAACGGUAGCUAAUACCGCAUACCAUCGGAUGUGCCCAGAUGGGAUUAGCUAGUAGGUGGGGUAAAGGCUCACCAAGGCGACGAUCCCUAGCUGGUCUGAGAGGAUGACCAGCCACCCUGGAACUGAGACAAGGUCCAGCUGCCUACGGGAGGCAGCAGUGGGGAAUAUUGCACAAGGGGAGCAAGCCUGAUGCAGCCAUGCCUCGUGUAUGAUGAAGGCCUUCGGGGUGUAAAGUACUUUAAGCGGGGAGGCGUUACCCGCAGAAGAAGCACCGGCUAACUCCGUGCCAGCAGCCGCGGUAAUAC